AUUUAUAAAAUUCUAUUUAAUCUUUAACGGACACAAAUUGAACUAAAGCGGUUUGCGUUUUUGGAUAUUUAUCUUCCCUGUUUAUAGAGGGUUACACAGUAAUAAUAGAAUAGUAAGACACGUAGAGCGAAUUACGCAAGUAAAAAUGCUGUUCAUGCUGGGCGUGACUUUGAUCCUCUUCACGGGCGUGGUUACCGGCUAUAUAGAGAUACUGAGCGGUGACUUCUACAUAGAGGGUGUGUUUACUCUGUAUGCAGGACAGGGCGAUGAGCCUUGCGCGCGGCUGGUUCCACGAUCUGUACAACAUCUUGAGGCCGUCCGUUACCGGAUACAGCAAACGUCAACCAUUAAAAUAGGUCUGCGAGUCCAUGCAACGUGCGGAAACGUCAGUAGGGCACAAGAAAUAGCGUACAACAUCUCACAAAUGUUGGGAGACCCAUAUUCGAAGUCUAUUG
Dreissena polymorpha is the source of this 455-nucleotide long non-coding RNA. RefSeq lists it as uncharacterized. The transcript has 3 exons. NCBI's taxonomy places the organism in Eukaryota, Metazoa, Mollusca, Bivalvia, Myida, Dreissenidae. The record is from RefSeq and is a predicted model, not a curated record.